RNAcentral lists this ribosomal RNA (680 nucleotides) under Acinetobacter sp.42AAIII. RNAcentral describes it as "bacterial SSU rRNA". It matches the Rfam family "Bacterial small subunit ribosomal RNA", at positions 91 to 766 of the family's 1533-position model. The record is from RNAcentral. Lineage: Bacteria; Pseudomonadati; Pseudomonadota; Gammaproteobacteria; Moraxellales; Moraxellaceae.
CCUAGCGGCGGACGGGUGAGUAAUGCUUAGGAAUCUGCCUAUUAGUGGGGGACAACAUCUCGAAAGGGAUGCUAAUACCGCAUACGUCCUACGGGAGAAAGCAGGGGACCUUCGGGCCUUGCGCUAAUAGAUGAGCCUAAGUCGGAUUAGCUAGUUGGUGGGGUAAAGGCCUACCAAGGCGACGAUCUGUAGCGGGUCUGAGAGGAUGAUCCGCCACACUGGGACUGAGACACGGCCCAGACUCCUACGGGAGGCAGCAGUGGGGAAUAUUGGACAAUGGGGGGAACCCUGAUCCAGCCAUGCCGCGUGUGUGAAGAAGGCCUUUUGGUUGUAAAGCACUUUAAGCGAGGAGGAGGCUACCGAGAUUAAUACUCUUGGAUAGUGGACGUUACUCGCAGAAUAAGCACCGGCUAACUCUGUGCCAGCAGCCGCGGUAAUACAGAGGGUGCAAGCGUUAAUCGGAUUUACUGGGCGUAAAGCGCGCGUAGGUGGCCAAUUAAGUCAAAUGUGAAAUCCCCGAGCUUAACUUGGGAAUUGCAUUCGAUACUGGUUGGCUAGAGUAUGGGAGAGGAUGGUAGAAUUCCAGGUGUAGCGGUGAAAUGCGUAGAGAUCUGGAGGAAUACCGAUGGCGAAGGCAGCCAUCUGGCCUAAUACUGACACUGAGGUGCGAAAGCAUGGGG